This 253-nucleotide ribosomal RNA is filed under the name uncultured bacterium. RNAcentral describes it as "partial 16S ribosomal RNA". It matches the Rfam family "Bacterial small subunit ribosomal RNA", at positions 524 to 776 of the family's 1533-position model. The record is from RNAcentral.
UACGAAGGGGGCUAGCGUUGUUCGGAAUUACUGGGCGUAAAGCGCACGUAGGCGGUGUUCCAUGUCAGAGGGGAAAGCCUGGGGCUCAACUCCAGAAUUGCCUUUGAAACGGGAACGCUUGAGUCCGAGAGAGGAUGGCGGAAUUCCUAGUGUAGAGGUGAAAUUCGUAGAUAUUAGGAAGAACACCAGUGGCGAAGGCGGCCAUCUGGCUCGGUACUGACGCUCAGGUUCGAAAGCGUGGGGAGCAAACAGG